UCUCUAUAAAUGAUACAAAGUUCCUUGCGUUUGCUCUUCUUCCUCAGUUUUGCGUCUCUUCCAUAUUCGAAAUCUGCAGCACUGAGCUACUCAUGAACGAUUCUCUUCUCCGCUGAAGCAAUGGCCUCUUCGGAUGUUAAUUGGGACAGGCUAGAUAAAAAGAAGUUCUAUGUCGUGGGAGCAGGACUCUUUACAGGUGUUACAGUAGCACUCUACCCGGUUUCUGUUGUGAAAACUAGGCUGCAGGUUGCUUCAAAGGAUACUCUGGAGAGAAGUGCAUUAUCUGUUGUGAAAGGAUUACUUAAAACGGAUGGCAUCCGUGGUUUGUAUAAAGGGUUUCUUACAGUUAUGACUGGUACAAUUCCUACCAGAAUCAUAUUUCUUACUGCCUUGGAGACCACAAAGGUGGCUUCCCUCAGGAUGCUGGAGCCAUUUAGACUAUCUGAUACCACCCAGACUGCCAUAUCAAAUGGACUAGCAGGCAUGACAUCAUCACUUUUGGCACAAGCUAUGUUUGUUCCAAUUGAUGUGGUUAGCCAAAAGUUGAUGGUGCAAGGAUACUCAGGCCAUACGCAAUAUACGGGGGGUUUGGAUGUUGCUCGUAAGGUGUUAAGGUCUGAUGGCAUUAGGGGAUUAUAUAGAGGAUUUGGUCUAUCUGUCAUGACUUAUGUACCAUCUAGUGCUGUGUGGUGGGCAAGCUAUGGCUCAAGUAAGCAUUACUUAUGGAGAAUCUUGGGGGAUAACUCCGGUGAGGAAGGCACUCCUAGUCUACUAAAGAUUAUGUUAGUUCAGGCUACUGGAGGGAUCAUUGCUGGUGCUACUGCGUCCUCUAUUACAACCCCGUUGGAUACAAUCAAAACACGGUUACAGGUGACUGGACUUGAAAAGAAAAUCUCUGUAAAACAAGUUGUUAAAGAUUUGAUUCUUGAAGAUGGUUGGAAAGGUUUAUAUAGAGGAUUAGGUCCAAGGUUUUUCAGCAUGUCAGCGUGGGGCACUUCAAUGAUUCUGGCUUAUGAAUAUCUGAAGCGCGUGUGUGCAAAGGAUGAAGAUGUGUAAACUGAUCUAGUUUGGAAUUGUCCAAGAAUUUUGUCUCAAAUACUUCGCUGGACAUUACUGGAAAAAUCACAAUGGCAAUUGAGCAAGAGUUUUGCUGCUGGACAUAACCAAAAUGGCAAGAAUAUGAGAUGUUUUUAUAUAUCGAGGUAAGAGUUCUACACAAAGUGAAGGUAGAAGGAAGACUACGACAUAUGUUCAUAGAAAAGAUCAACUGGGUAAAGUUGGAGAAGUUGCAUCAUUACCUCAUCUGAUCUUGAUGAGUCGUAGGAGGAUGUUAUUGAUGAGCAACAAAAUGUUGUUAAGUACACGAGAAUGUUGUUCAACAAGAACAUGAAGUAGUUGGAUUUCUUGGAUGUCCACAUGAUACAUCAUUAUUGACGAGUUAUGUUGAUCAUGUUGUAUGUGUGUGUGUGUAUAUAUAUAUAUAUAUAUAUAU
Vigna radiata var. radiata (mung bean) is the source of this 1492-nucleotide RNA transcript. It is a transcript of the gene named solute carrier family 25 member 44, with no coding region annotated. The record is from RefSeq and is a predicted model, not a curated record. The transcript is spliced from 7 exons. Lineage: Eukaryota; Viridiplantae; Streptophyta; Magnoliopsida; Fabales; Fabaceae.